GUCAGGGUAGCUCAGCUGG
This 19-nucleotide transfer RNA is filed under the name Leichhardtia viridiflora subsp. viridiflora. Its description in RNAcentral is "Marsdenia viridiflora subsp. viridiflora partial tRNA-Phe". RNAcentral also lists the same sequence under 1 other name. Lineage: Eukaryota; Viridiplantae; Streptophyta; Magnoliopsida; Gentianales; Apocynaceae. The record is from RNAcentral.